Molecule: unclassified non-coding RNA, 381 nt
Filed under: soil metagenome
Description: partial contains 5.8S ribosomal RNA, internal transcribed spacer 2, and large subunit ribosomal RNA
Rfam family: 5.8S ribosomal RNA (bases 1-120)
Source: RNAcentral
GAUGAAGAACGCAGCGAAAUGCGAUAAGUAAUGUGAAUUGCAGAAUUCAGUGAAUCAUCGAAUCUUUGAACGCACCUUGCGCUCCUUGGUAUUCCGAGGAGCAUGCCUGUUUGAGUGUCAUUAAUGUAUGUCAACCUCUUUGAGUGUUGGAUGUGGGGGUCUUGUUUUGCUGGCCUUUCUUUUGUCCAAGAAGGUCAGCUCCCCUAAAAUGCAUUAGCGGAACCUUGUGUGGACCGUUCAUUGGUGUGAUAAUUAUCUACACUAUUGACGUGAAGCAGUUCAGCUUCUAACUGUCUAUUGGCUUGGACAAUGUUUCAUUAAUGUGACCUCAAAUCAGGUAGGACUACCCGCUGAACUUAAGCAUAUCAAUAAGCGGAGGGA